RNAcentral lists this ribosomal RNA (729 nucleotides) under uncultured eukaryote. Its description in RNAcentral is "SSU rRNA". It matches the Rfam family "Eukaryotic small subunit ribosomal RNA", at positions 670 to 1426 of the family's 1831-position model. The record is from RNAcentral.
CGGGUGCACUGAUCCAGCCGGGCCCUUCCCUCUGUGGAACCCCAUGGCCUUCACUGGCUGUGGCGGGGAAACAGGACUUUUACUUUGAAAAAAUUAGAGUGCUCCAGGCAGGCCUAUGCUCGAAUACAUUAGCAUGGAAUAAUAGAAUAGGACGUGUGGUUCUAUUUUGUUGGUUUCUAGGACCGCCGUAAUGAUUAAUAGGGACAGUCGGGGGCAUCAGUAUUCAAUUGUCAGAGGUGAAAUUCUUGGAUCUAUUGAAGACUAACUACUGCGAAAGCAUUUGCCAAGGAUGUUUUCAUUGAUAAGGAACGAAAGUUAGGGGAUCGAAGACGAUCAGAUACCGUCGUAGUCUUAACUAUAAACUAUGCCGACUAGGGAUCGGACGAUGUUAUUCUUUGACGCGUUCGGCACCUUUCGAGAAAUCAAAGUGCUUGGGCUCCAGGGGGAGUAUGGUCGCAAGGCUGAAACUUAAAGAAAUUGACGGAAGGGCACCACCAGGGGUGGAACCUGCGGCUUAAUUUGACUCAACACGGGGAAACUCACCAGGUCCAGACACAGUGAGGAUUGACAGAUUGAGAGCUCUUUCUUGAUUCUGUGGGUGGUGGUGCAUGGCCGUUCUUAGUUGGUGGAGUGAUUUGUCUGCUUAAUUGCGAUAACGAACGAGACCUUAACCUGCUAAAUAGCCCGUACUGCUUUGGCAGUUCGCCGGCUUCUUAGAGGGACUAUCGG